Molecule: ribosomal RNA, 467 nt
Filed under: uncultured bacterium
Lineage: Bacteria
Description: bacterial SSU rRNA
Rfam family: Bacterial small subunit ribosomal RNA
Source: RNAcentral
UAAGGAAUAUUGGUCAAUGGAGGCAACUCUGAACCAGCCAUGCCGCGUGCAGGAAGAAGGCCCUAUGGGUCGUAAACUGCUUUUGAACAAGAGAAAACCCCGGUACGUGUACUGGGUUGAUAGUAUUGUUAGAAUAAGCAUCGGCUAACUUCGUGCCAGCAGCCGCGGUAAGACGAAGGAUGCAAGCGUUAUCCGGAUUCAUUGGGUUUAAAGGGUGCGUAGGCGGACUGAUAAGUCAGUGGUGAAAUCUCUCGGCUUAACCGAGAAACUGCCAUUGAUACUGUUAGUCUAGAGUACAGAUGAUGUGGGCGGAAUAUGACAUGUAGUGGUGAAAUGCGUAGAGAUCGGGAGGAAGGCCGGUGGCGAAGGCGGCGCUCUGGAACGUUUCUGACGCUGAGGAGCGAAAGCUAGGGGAGCAAACAGGAUUAGAUACCCAAGUAGUCCCUGAGCGGGCUGGCAAGGCGCAU